RNAcentral lists this long non-coding RNA (1293 nucleotides) under Ovis aries (sheep). RNAcentral describes it as "lncRNA (ENSOARG00000026284.1)". Lineage: Eukaryota; Metazoa; Chordata; Mammalia; Artiodactyla; Bovidae. The record is from RNAcentral.
AUGGAGCCAGACCCUCUCGUCUCCCAACCCCGACGCUCCCCCGGGUUCCUCAGACACAGCAGACAAUCUCGCGAGGCCUCGUCAGCUUGCGUCUCGCGAGAAGUCCUCUGCGAGGUGGGCUUUGGGGCCGGGAGGUUCCCUUGGUGCGUGAGCACGUCCCGCUUGGCCCUGGGCAGUAACUGGGAGUACUCUGUGUCGGUCCUGAGGGGCUUGAGGCCAAGUAGGGGCGUCGUCUCCGGUUCCCAGCAAGGAGUCCCUCAGGUCCCCGUGGCCAUGGUGCUUUCGACCCCGGCACUGUCAUCCUUCAGAACCAGCGACUUCCGUGCACUUGCAAGCCACUGCCGGGCUCCAGAAAUCCUAGAAGGACGCAGUCGCUUCCCCUCAAGAUCCCCGCCGCUCCCAUGCUACCGUGAAAGUGAGGUGCAGGAGACAGGAGGUCCAGGUAGUUCUCUCUGACAGUGGUCUUUUUAAAACAUACCGAGGGGCCAGGUCAAGUGGAUGGCAAUAACUUGAAAGUGGGCGAUUGUUCUAGACAUGGUGGAAGUCAAAUUGGUUGUUUUGGCAAUGAAUUAUGCCUGGAUGGGGUGGAGGGGAAGACUGGUGAGUCCUGUAAGAGUCCAUGGUGUCUGUAAGUCAAGGGUGUUCUGUAGAAUGGUGAUAAAGUAAGGGAGGAAGAAGACUGAAAGACUGAACCUUGAAAGCCUGUUUCUAGUUGAUUCUAAUUUAGCACUUGCCAUUCCCUCACCUCAUUCCAUAGUUCAUCAGGCACUCUUAUCUAUCAGAUCUAGGCCCUUAAAUCUAUUUCUCACUUCCACUGUAUAAUCAUAAGGGAUUUGAUUUAGGUCAUACCUGAAUGGUCUAGUGGUUUUCCCUACUUUCUUCAAUUUGAGUCUGAAUUUGGCAAUAAGGAGAUAAUGAUCUGAGCCAAAGUCAGCUCCUGGUCUUGUUUUUGUUGACUGUAUAGAGCUUCUCAAUCUUUGGCUGCAAAGAAUAUAAUCAAUCUGAUUUCGGUGUUGACCAUCUGGUGAUGUCCAUGUGUAGAGUCUUCUCUUGUGUUGUUGGAAGAGGGUGUUUGCUAUGACCAGUGCAUUUUCUUGGCAAAACUCUAUUAGUCUUUGCCCUGCUUCAUUCCGCAUUCCAAGGCCAAAUUUGCCUAUUACUCAAGGUAAGGAGCAGUGGCUGCGCUUUGCUGGAGCAGCCGUGAAGAGAUACCCCACACCCAAGGUAAGAGAAACCCAAGUAAGAUGGUAGGUGUUGCAAGAGGGCAUCAGAGGGCAGACACACUGAAACCAU